Lontra canadensis (Northern American river otter) is the source of this 764-nucleotide long non-coding RNA. RefSeq lists it as uncharacterized. NCBI's taxonomy places the organism in Eukaryota, Metazoa, Chordata, Mammalia, Carnivora, Mustelidae. The record is from RefSeq and is a predicted model, not a curated record. The transcript has 3 exons.
AAAAAAAAAAAGAAAAAGAAAGAAAGAAAAGCACAUUCUCCACCGACUCCUAGGAGCCAGGACACUUGACUUCAAUGCAAAUACUCAACUUUGUAUUUUGCUCUAUCUCUUCCUUGAUCAGACGUGUGAAGAGGAUUUAAGGAAUACAAGUAAUUCACAAGGGGAAAAUUCAGACAAUGAACAACAGCCUUGAACUUUUCCAGGGGGUCCCUUGCUUCAGAGCUCAUCUAACUCAGGAAGAAUGUAAUCAAAAUAUGGAGAGAAUGGUACACACCCAUGAUGUUGAUUCACUUUAAAAGGAGAACAUGACCGUCAAGCAGCAACAUUUGACCAGCUGACUUUCCUCAUAGAAAAGCUACUCAGGAAGGCAAACCACACCACAAGGUUCCUCCACAAGCCAGGGGGAUGAGUGGGCUAAUCUUCCUGGCUCCACCAUGUUUCUGCAGUGGCCCUCUGCUGUCCACAGGAUUAAGGCCCAACUCCUCAGCCUGGCAUCUGAGGCUCCCACAACGUGUCUGGGAGGAACUGACUGGAAGACAUCUGUAAUUCUCAGGAGACACUCCAAGACCUGCCCCACGCAGGACACCCACAACGUUGUCCUCUUGCUGCUCCUCCGUGUAAAUGGGUCUUUGUGAAAUUCCAUUCUUUUGAUCAGACACUAUCACUUCAUCCCCAUCCACCAGGAAAAACUUCGCCCUCAGGGCACUUGGGUGGCUCAGUCAGUUAAGAGGCUGACUCUUGAUCUCAGCUCAGGUCAUGAUCUC